RNAcentral lists this small nucleolar RNA (98 nucleotides) under Cavia porcellus (domestic guinea pig). Its description in RNAcentral is "Small nucleolar RNA SNORA42/SNORA80 family (ENSCPOG00000019261.2)". Lineage: Eukaryota; Metazoa; Chordata; Mammalia; Rodentia; Caviidae. The record is from RNAcentral.
GCAUGAAUCGGUGUCCCCUGCCAGAGCAAAUUCUAGCCCACAUCACUGGCUGACCUAUGUGUCUGUAAGCUGCUGGCACUGAAGUGGUUUGAGCAUGU